RNAcentral lists this unclassified non-coding RNA (380 nucleotides) under soil metagenome. RNAcentral describes it as "partial contains 5.8S ribosomal RNA, internal transcribed spacer 2, and large subunit ribosomal RNA". The stretch from base 2 to 121 matches the Rfam family "5.8S ribosomal RNA", at positions 35 to 154 of the family's 154-position model. The record is from RNAcentral.
GGAUGAAGAACGUAGCGAAAUGCGAUAAGUAAUGUGAAUUGCAGAAUUCCGUGAAUCAUCGAAUCUUUGAACGCACAUUGCGCCCUCUGGUAUUCCGGAGGGCAUGCCUGUCCGAGCGUCAUUGCAACCCCCAUCAAGCACGGCUUGUGUGUUGAGCGUUGGCCCCCCUCCUGGAAGGGGGGCCUGCUCCAAAUGCAGUGGCGGCGUCGCUUAUCAAAGGGUGACCGAGCAUAUGGGAGACUUAUUCUGGAUGCUCGCACGCUCCCGGUGAACGCUGGCCUCGAAUCUGACCCCCACCAGUUGGGGAUCGCUUCCAUUCAGGUUGACCUCGGAUCAGGUAGGGAUACCCGCUGAACUUAAGCAUAUCAAUAAGCGGAGGA